GUGCCAAAACUUAAGCGUAAGGAAAAUUGUGCUCGGGUUUGAAACCCCGACAACCACUUACGUUGGUGAUAAUUUUUGGAGGGGAAAGGUCUGCGACGGUGUGGCCUGCCUACUUUGUGGGCUGCGCGCUGCAGACUUGCCC
Small nuclear RNA from Galendromus occidentalis (western predatory mite), 142 nucleotides. RefSeq annotates it as U12 minor spliceosomal RNA. The transcript has a single exon. The record is from RefSeq and is a predicted model, not a curated record. Lineage: Eukaryota; Metazoa; Arthropoda; Arachnida; Mesostigmata; Phytoseiidae.